GGAGUAUUCCAUCAGGUACUGGU
Molecule: microRNA, 23 nt
Filed under: Drosophila melanogaster (fruit fly)
Lineage: Eukaryota; Metazoa; Arthropoda; Insecta; Diptera; Drosophilidae
Also listed under: 1 other name
Description: piRNA piR-dme-19538182
Source: RNAcentral